RNAcentral lists this ribosomal RNA (497 nucleotides) under uncultured bacterium. RNAcentral's name for it is "partial 16S ribosomal RNA". It matches the Rfam family "Bacterial small subunit ribosomal RNA", at positions 28 to 507 of the family's 1533-position model. The record is from RNAcentral.
GAUGAACGCUGGCGGCGUGCCUAAUACAUGCAAGUCGAGCGAACAGACGAGGAUCUUGCUCCUCUGACGUUACCAGCGGACGGGUGAGUCACAAGUGGAUAACCUACCUAUCAGACUGGAGCAACUUCGGGAAAGCGUAGUUAAUACCGGAUAAUAUAUUGAACCGCAUGGUUCAAUAGUGAAAGAUGGUUUUGGUGUCACUUAUAGACGGAUCAGCGCCGCAUUGGCUGGUUGGUAAGGUAACGGCCUACCAAGGGAACGACGCGUAGCCGAGCCGGGAGGGUGGUCGGCCACCCGGGAGCGGAGACGGGCACCAGGCUCCUGCGGGAGGGAGCAGUAGGGAAUCUGCCGCAAUGGUCGGAAGUCUUGCGGAGCGACGCCACGUGUGAUGUAGAGACCUUGGGUGCGUAAAACUCGGUUAUUAGGGGUGAACAAAUUUGUAAGGAGCAGUGCACAUCUUGACGGUACCUGAUCAGAAAGCCACGGCUAACUACGUG